RNAcentral lists this transfer RNA (95 nucleotides) under Methylobacterium frigidaeris. RNAcentral describes it as "tRNA-Pro". The record is from RNAcentral. Lineage: Bacteria; Pseudomonadati; Pseudomonadota; Alphaproteobacteria; Hyphomicrobiales; Methylobacteriaceae.
GGCGGGGCUCGGCCGGCGGGCAUAGGCCCCGCGGCCCGGACCCGCGGGUCACGGUGGUGCGGAUCGCCGCCCGAUCAUAGCCCGCCGCCACCGCC